AUGACAAGGGGAUGGGGCGGCGCGAUGGCUGAACGCGGCGAGCUGCAGAGCCGCCGGCGGGCCCUGCCCUGCCUGCUGCCAGGCUGCGGGGAGAAACGGCCGGCCUCACGCUGCUGCACAUGGGCGGCCUCCUCACGAACCACCACACGGCACCUGGAGUGGGAAGCAAGCAAACAAACACAAGGCAUGCACAUAUCCCAUUAUUACUUCUGUGCCUUAAAACUGUUUGUCCAGGCAUGCCAGACUGCAUGGCAAGAGAGCAAUCGGAGGGCACACAUCCAUUUCAAUCAACCCACCACACAUUACCUUCUCUGAGAAAGUAAGAAAGCAGGAAAUUACCCAAAAUGUGCACAGUCUUGUGCAUCCAACAAUGCAGGUCACAAAAUCGAUAAUGUGCAAAAACAAUUGCUCAGAGCUGAACAAUGAAAUACAUUAAAGCGUAAGCUAAAC
Molecule: long non-coding RNA, 450 nt
Filed under: Anas platyrhynchos platyrhynchos (common mallard)
Lineage: Eukaryota; Metazoa; Chordata; Aves; Anseriformes; Anatidae
Description: lncRNA (ENSAPLG00000016502.1)
Source: RNAcentral